CAUUACUUUCAAGAUCAUCUGAUAAGAUUAGAACAAUACAUAGAAGAUUAGCAUGACUUUUGCAUGAUGAGGAUGACAUACACAAAUUGAGAAAUGGUCUAAAUUUUU
Molecule: non-coding RNA, 108 nt
Organism: Cajanus cajan (pigeon pea)
Lineage: Eukaryota; Viridiplantae; Streptophyta; Magnoliopsida; Fabales; Fabaceae
Source: Rfam